This 163-nucleotide ribosomal RNA is filed under the name uncultured bacterium. Its description in RNAcentral is "partial 16S rRNA". It matches the Rfam family "Bacterial small subunit ribosomal RNA", at positions 355 to 511 of the family's 1533-position model. The record is from RNAcentral.
UAGGGAAUCUUCCACAAUGGACGAAAGUCUGAUGGAGCAACGCCGCGUGAGUGAAGAGGGUUUCGGCUCGUAAAACUCUGUUGUUAAAGAAGAACAUAUCUGAGAGUAACUGUUCAGGUAUUGACGGUAUUUAACCAGAAAGCCACGGCUAACUACGUGCCGG